UACGGAGGAUGCAAGCGUUAUCCGGAAUGAUUGGGCGUAAAGCGUCCGCAGGUGGCUGUGUAAGUCUGCUGUUAAAGAGUGAGGCUCAACCUCAUAAGAGCAGUGGAAACUACAUAGCUAGAGUGCGUUCGGGGCAGAGGGAAUUCCUGGUGUAGCGGUGAAAUGCGUAGAUAUCAGGAAGAACACCGGUGGCGAAAGCGCUCUGCUAGGCCGCAACUGACACUGAGGGACGAAAGCUAGGGGAGCGAAUGGG
Molecule: ribosomal RNA, 253 nt
Filed under: uncultured bacterium
Lineage: Bacteria
Description: partial 16S ribosomal RNA
Rfam family: Bacterial small subunit ribosomal RNA
Source: RNAcentral